This 383-nucleotide unclassified non-coding RNA is filed under the name uncultured fungus. Its description in RNAcentral is "sequence contains ITS1". The stretch from base 1 to 105 matches the Rfam family "5.8S ribosomal RNA", at positions 50 to 154 of the family's 154-position model. Lineage: Eukaryota; Fungi. The record is from RNAcentral.
GAAAUGCGAUACGUAAUGUGAAUUGCAGAAAUACGUGAACCAUCGAAUCUUUGAACGCAUAUUGCGCUCGAGGCUUCGGCCAAGAGCAUGUCUGCCUCAGCGUCGCUUUACCCCCUCACCCCCCAUCCCUAUCUUGCUUGCAAGACAUGGUUGGGCAGUGGACCUGGCUCUCCCAGCAUGAUUCAGUUCAUUCUGGGUUGGCUGAAGUGCAGAGGUUGAUGCAUGGACCCGUUAUGGGCCUCGGCUGGGUAGGCAGCUUUGCUUGCUAUUGCUUUAGCCGUUGGCUUGGGACUGUGCCGUCGACCCAAACCAGGAAAGGGAGCUUUGGCAUCCUCACCCUAAUUUUCGACCUGAGCUCAGGCAAGAACACCCGCUGAACUUAA